Rattus norvegicus (Norway rat) is the source of this 2504-nucleotide long non-coding RNA. RefSeq lists it as uncharacterized. Lineage: Eukaryota; Metazoa; Chordata; Mammalia; Rodentia; Muridae. The record is from RefSeq and is a predicted model, not a curated record.
CAUCAGCAGCCACCAAGGAACCAGGUGGGGCAGGCGUGUCCUGAGGGCACCUGUCCAAAGCAGGACCUGCCCAGGCUUGAUGACCGGAUGCUGGAUGGUCACUGAGACCAGACCUCUCUGACAUCAAGGAAAACUGCCGCAGCUUGCCGCCAGACCUGCCCCUUGAGUGUAUGACACUCUGCUUGGCGUUCGGUCCCCAGCAGCCUGUCACACGGUGGAGCAAAAGAGAGAACAAGGCAGUGAGCUACUGGAGAGAACAGCAGCAGAAAGACAAGGGAGGAGCCAUUCCUAGAAGGACCCUUGAAUAACACAGAAAGAAAGAACUGAGGCUGAAUCCCACCCAAAGACACCAAGUCCCUGCUACUUCAGGGUCUGAAACUGACUAGCAUCGCUUCAUUGUGCGGCCAUGCACACAGCACUCACUGUGCAUCGAGUUGCUACAAGAAGCUUCUUGCAUAGAACGUUUGCUGCGUAGUCAUGCUGGCUGAAUAGGCACCAGCACAACCAGGGCGUGGAGAGAGUGUGGCAUGGCAGGUGGAGCCACACAGUGGGAAUUCAUUAAUCUGGGACAGGAGGCAAACUCAGCCUGCUGCCUGUGAUCUGACCAUAAGCUGUAAACUGAUAUGGGGACCUCUGGUGACCCGUCUCCCUCACAAUGGCCAGGCUCUUGGGCUGAAGAAAGAUUUCUAGAAGAGAUCUAAACAUACAGCAUCAGUUCCUAAGAGUCUAGCCUGCACCCCAGGUAGAAAACUAGCGUGGGUGCCUCAUGGGAUAGAAAGUAGCCUUAGAGAAGAAUUGAGUUCUGACUGUUCCUCAUCUUGUCUCCUGAGCUGUGUGUGGCGGGAUGCACCUGUGUCCAGCAGGACAGACCUCAUGAACACAUCUGGACAGGAGAAAGCAUCAAGCAAGUCUGACGGCUCUUCCGGCAUGGGCCCUGACCAUUGUCUUUGUAUCACAGUUGCAGGUACUGUUGUUGGCCACUUUCUUAGUGGAAUCGCAUGAAGAAGAGGCAUUUGUUUAAUCUCCAAACUCUUCAGUAGCUUAGCUGUAAUUUUAUUCUGCAUUUGUGCACUGUGUCAUUAAAAUACCAUAUAUUUUAAUAGUGAAGGAAGCCCGGACGCUGGCCCAGUGUGGGCUUUUUGAUGGCUCUAUCUAUGUGUCUGGAUAGAUGGUCCAUGGUUGUGGCAUGUUUUAAUCAUUGUAACCUGCUGUAGAACACCACUGAUGCCCAAGGCAGCCAUGUCUCUGAAGGAUUAAAAUGCUCCGCUCAACAGAGCUCAGAACUCUAUGAUGACAUGUUCACUGGGGAUCGUAAUGGUUACUGUAGACCCACAAAAUCUUAAACUCAAAUUUCUCUGUGUUAAAAUCUUUGCUGCGCCCAGGUGCCCCCAGUGAUGCUUUGCUCAGUUAAAGCAGAUAGAAAGAGAAAGAAGCAAGAGAGACGCAGCAUAGCUGGAAUAGCAAGGAACUGGGCCAAAGCACCUUUCCCAUGGGGCUGGAACUGAUAAGUACCAAUCUUGUGGAGCCACUGUCCCAUAUGAAAGAAACUGGGAAGCCCCAGAACCCACUCACCACGUUCACUCCUUGCAGUCACACCAGAUACCAUUCUGGUCCUGUUCCCUCUGUCAUUUUCCAUCUCCAGACGUCUGAAGGCCUCAUUCCCAGCACAUACCAGCAGGGAGGGGCCGUCCAGGAGUGUCUGCAGAGAGUCCACCUGGAAGAAGUUAGCACAGAGUUGGGAGCCUGGCCUGCAGAGCCCCUCUGCUCCGGAAGGCCCAGGAAGGAAGUUCCAUCUCCUCGACCCUUCUUGACUCUUGCAGAAAGAACAAUGGCUAUGCAGUGGGCCACUCUCAUAGGCAUUCCACCUGAGAGUGGGGGACUCGGAAGGACCAGGAUUGGAAGGCUUCUGGCAAGGAACUCUAGAUAAGCAGCUCUCACAGUCUUCCUGACAACUGGCUAGUGGGUGAAGACAUACUCGUCAUUGGAUGACCAUUGUGGACUUACAGAAUACCUAUUUAUCACUGAGAUAAGCCAGGAAGGUGGCUGACUUCAGAGCAGAAGAUACGAUAUAUUGGGCUAUCACCAAGAAUCUACUGUGUAUCUGGGUACGGUGGUGUACACUUUCAAUCUAAGCACUCAAGAGGCAGAGAAAGGUUCCUAUCUAUGAGUUCCAGAUCAUCCUGGAACACACAAGUUCCAGGCCAGCCAGGAUAUAUAGUGAGACCCUAUUCCAAAACAAACAAUAAGAAAUCACUUUCUAGCCAUACACUUUAUCACCCACAUAGUGUGGAAUAGUGGGAUGGAUAUUCUCUAGAAGAUUCCAUGUGGGAACCAGCUGGGAGGCACCCCUUUAUGAGGAUGUUACCCCAUAGGAUGUGAUAUGCAUUUCCAAGGCAAGCUAUGUGAGCUGCUGUGAACAGACAGCUGGGGACAAGAGUCAUUCAUUCUCACCAGAAGACAGACAGCGUGGAGAUGGUGUGGUGAAAGUAAAUAUGACCUUUUUG